Molecule: ribosomal RNA, 254 nt
Filed under: uncultured bacterium
Lineage: Bacteria
Description: partial 16S ribosomal RNA
Rfam family: Bacterial small subunit ribosomal RNA
Source: RNAcentral
UACAGAGAGUGCGAGCGUUGUCCGGAAUCACUGGGCGUAAAGGGCGCGUAGGUGGUGGCUUAAGCGUGCGGUGAAAGCUCGGAGCUCAACUCCGAGUCGGCCGUGCGAACUGGGCUCACUGGAGCAUAGUAGAGGCAGGUGGAAUUCCGGGUGUAGCGGUGGAAUGCGUAGAGAUCCGGAAGAACACCGGUGGCGAAGGCGGCCUGCUGGGCUAUGGCUGACACUGAGGCGCGACAGCGUGGGGAGCAAACAGG